ACUCAAAGGAAUAGACGGGGGCCCGCACAAGCGGUGGAGCAUGUGGUUUAAUUCGACGCAACGCGCAGAACCUUACCAGGGCUUGACAUGGGAAAGACCGGACGAGAGAUCGUCCUUCUCCAGCAAUGGAGCUUUCCACACAGGUGCUGCAUGGCUGUCGUCAGCUCGUGUCGUGAGAUGUUGGGUUAAGUCCCGCAACGAGCGCAACCCUCGUUUUUAGUUGCCAUCAUUCAGUUGGGCACUCUAAAGAGACUGCCGCGAAUAACGCGGAGGAAGGUGGGGACGACGUCAAGUCAUCAUGGCCCUUACGUCCUGGGCUACACACGUGCUACAAUGGGCGCUACAAAGGGUCGCAAGAGCGCAAGCUGGAGCCAAUCCCCAAAAGCGUCCUCAGUUCGGAUCGAGGUCUGCAACCCGACCUCGUGAAGGUGGAAUCGCUAGUAAUCGCGGAUCAGAACGCCGCGGUGAAUACGUUCCCGGGCCUUGCACACACCGCCCGU
This 500-nucleotide ribosomal RNA is filed under the name uncultured bacterium. Its description in RNAcentral is "partial 16S ribosomal RNA". It matches the Rfam family "Bacterial small subunit ribosomal RNA", at positions 899 to 1397 of the family's 1533-position model. The record is from RNAcentral.